This 274-nucleotide ribosomal RNA is filed under the name uncultured bacterium. Its description in RNAcentral is "partial 16S ribosomal RNA". It matches the Rfam family "Bacterial small subunit ribosomal RNA", at positions 523 to 796 of the family's 1533-position model. The record is from RNAcentral.
AUACAGGGGGUGCGAGCGUUAAUCGGAAUUACUGGGCGUAAAGAGUACGUAGGCGGUUGCUUAAGUCAGAUGUGAAAGCCCCGGGCUCAACCUGGGAACUGCAUUUGAAACUGAGUGACUAGAGUUUAAGAGAGGGGAGUAGAAUUCCGGGUGUAGCGGUGAAAUGCGUAGAGAUCCGGAGGAAUACCAGUGGCGAAGGCGGCUCCCUGGCUUAAAACUGACGCUGAGGCCCGAAAGCGUGGGGAGCAAACAGGAUUAGAAACCCUAGUAGUCC